AACCUUAUGGACCUGCGGGCGUAUACCUGCGGAGGGAUCAUUAUUGAGAUUAUUUUGACUUUUGUCAAAGUUUCUCUACCCAUUGAUUUUAUACAAAUGUAUAAGAAUUUUAGCUUCGGUGAGACGAUUUGGGAAACCAAACGAUUGGUAUUUACAAAAGUAAUUACUGAUCUGUGCUUACCGAUAGCAUAUAAACUCAAUAAAAUUUGUAUUUGUCUGAGACUAUAAUAAAAAAUAAAU
Molecule: unclassified non-coding RNA, 240 nt
Filed under: soil metagenome
Description: partial contains 5.8S ribosomal RNA, internal transcribed spacer 2, and large subunit ribosomal RNA
Source: RNAcentral